GAAAUUAUUAGGGAGCUGGGCGCAGUGGCUCACGCCUAUAAUCCCAGUGGCUUGGGAGGCUGAGACAGGAGGCUUGAGAGUUCAAAGCCAAUCUCAGCAAGAGCAAGACACUGAACAACUCAGUGAGACCCUGUCUCUAAAUAAAACCAAAACAGGGCUGGGGAUGUGACUCAGUGGUUGAGUGCCCCUGAGUUCAGUCCCUGGAACCAAAAAAAAGAAAAAAAGAAAAAAAGAAAAAAGAAAGAAAUCAUUAGGAAUUAGAAAGAACAAAUACAUUUCUAGGUUUUAAAGCAUUUCUAGAGUAAUCACUGAACUAUCUUUUAACCUUUUUCUCCUCUUUCCUAUGAACAUAAAUUUAGGGUCCAUACAUCUCUUCCAAGGUGAAUUAUAGUUUAUAAGUCUCAUAGAAAAUUUGCCUCAUUAUUGAAUAGUCAUGUCCUGAUUUUACCCCAAAAUAGGAAUACAUCCUUUAUUAAACUACGGCCUAGAAUUAAACUUAAAGCUUCAGUUUCCUCAUUCAUAAAAUGAGGCUUUUUACCUUUUAGGCUUUUGUCAGAAUGAAAAUGACAGUAUCUAGCAUAUUAUUUUUUACAUUGUGAAUAUAUGAGUUUCCUUGCUCACUUCUUCUCAUUGAAGAUAUUAAAAUAUCACUUUUGCUGAGAAAAACCUCAAGGCCCCUAGAUACUUUCCUCUGCUACUUUCUCUUAUGACACACACUCCUACCCCCCAACCUCCUUCCUCUCAAUGCAGCUUUCUUUCCUGUCAGCUCCUGUCAGAUGGCUUCUUUAUCCCCCCUGUGGCCCUUUGGUCUAAAAGGAAGAACUGGCUAUAGAGAUAGAUUAAAAUUUGGUACUACAGGAUGAAGCAGCAUUAUCUCUCUGGUCUUUGUGAAAACAAUUGCUCCCACAGCUCCAGCUGAUCUUCUCCC
This 928-nucleotide long non-coding RNA is filed under the name Marmota monax (woodchuck). The record is from RNAcentral. Lineage: Eukaryota; Metazoa; Chordata; Mammalia; Rodentia; Sciuridae.